This 500-nucleotide ribosomal RNA is filed under the name uncultured bacterium. RNAcentral's name for it is "partial 16S ribosomal RNA". It matches the Rfam family "Bacterial small subunit ribosomal RNA", at positions 30 to 523 of the family's 1533-position model. The record is from RNAcentral.
AUUGAACGCUGGCGGCAGGCCUAACACAUGCAAGUCGAGCGGAUGACGGGAGCUUGCUCCUUGAUUCAGCGGCGGACGGGUGAGUAAUGCCUAGGAAUCUGCCUGGUAGUGGGGGACAACGUUUCGAAAGGAACGCUAAUACCGCAUACGUCCUACGGGAGAAAGCAGGGGACCUUCGGGCCUUGCGCUAUCAGAUGAGCCUAGGUCGGAUUAGCUAGUUGGUGGGGUAAUGGCUCACCAAGGCGACGAUCCGUAACUGGUCUGAGAGGAUGAACAGUCGCACUGGAACUGAGACACGGUCCAGACUCCUACGGGAGGCAGCAGUGGGGAAUAUUGGACAAUGGGCGAAAGCCUGAUCCAGCCAUGCCGCGUGUGUGAAGAAGGUCUUCGGAUUGUAAAGCACUUUAAGUUGGGAGGAAGGGCAGUAAGUUAAUACCUUGCUGUUUUGACGUUACCGACAGAAUAAGCACCGGCUAACUCUGUGCCAGCAGCCGCCGUAA